This 253-nucleotide ribosomal RNA is filed under the name uncultured bacterium. Its description in RNAcentral is "partial 16S ribosomal RNA". It matches the Rfam family "Bacterial small subunit ribosomal RNA", at positions 524 to 776 of the family's 1533-position model. The record is from RNAcentral.
UACGUAGGGUGCAAGCGUUGUCCGGAAUCAUUGGGCGUAAAGCGCGUGUAGGCGGCUUGCUACGUCCGCUCUGAAAGCCCGGGGCUCAACCCCGGGAGGCGGGUGGAUACUGGCAAGCUCGAGUCCGGAAGAGGCGAGUGGAAUUCCUGGUGUAGCGGUGAAAUGCGCAGAUAUCAGGAGGAACACCGAUGGCGAAGGCAGCUCGCUGGGACGUGACUGACGCUGAGACGCGAAAGCGUGGGGAGCAAACAGG